GCCUUCGUGUUGUAGUGGUCAGCACGCUCGACGCGUAACCGAGAGGUCCGUGGUUCGAUUCCUGGCGAAGGCA
RNAcentral lists this transfer RNA (73 nucleotides) under Stegodyphus mimosarum. It matches the Rfam family "tRNA". From Rfam's summary of the family: Transfer RNA (tRNA) molecules are approximately 80 nucleotides in length. Their secondary structure includes four short double-helical elements and three loops (D, anti-codon, and T loops). Lineage: Eukaryota; Metazoa; Arthropoda; Arachnida; Araneae; Eresidae. The record is from Rfam by way of RNAcentral.